GCUAGGUUUGGUGGCACACGCUUGUAAUCCCAGCUACUCCGGAGGCUGAAGUGCGAGGGUCACUUGAACCCCAGGAGUUCUGGGCUGUAGUGCGGUAUGCCCAUCCAGCAUCCGCAGUAAGUUCAUCAUCAAUAUGGCGACCUCCGGGAGUGGAGUGGAGGGCUGCCUAAGGUGGAGUGAACUGUCCCAGAAACAGAGCAGGUUAAAACUCAUGUGUUGAUCAGUAGUGGGAUCGCACCUAUGAAUAGCCACCUCACUCCAGCCUAGGCAACAUAACAGGACCCUAGUCUCAA
Unclassified non-coding RNA from Papio anubis (olive baboon), 293 nucleotides. It matches the Rfam family "Metazoan signal recognition particle RNA". Rfam says of the family: The signal recognition particle (SRP) is a universally conserved ribonucleoprotein. It is involved in the co-translational targeting of proteins to membranes. The eukaryotic SRP consists of a 300-nucleotide 7S RNA and six proteins: SRPs 72, 68, 54, 19, 14, and 9. The record is from Ensembl. Lineage: Eukaryota; Metazoa; Chordata; Mammalia; Primates; Cercopithecidae.